This 2852-nucleotide ribosomal RNA is filed under the name Actomonas lomoniglobus. RNAcentral's name for it is "Opitutaceae bacterium LMO-M01 23S ribosomal RNA". It matches the Rfam family "Bacterial large subunit ribosomal RNA". The record is from RNAcentral. Lineage: Bacteria; Pseudomonadati; Verrucomicrobiota; Opitutia; Opitutales; Opitutaceae.
GCAUAAACCAGUUACAGCCAUUGGUGGAUGCCUUGGCGUCAUAUGGCGAUGAAGGACGCAGCAAGCUGCGAUAAGCUUCGGGGAGCGGCACGCACGCUUUGAUCCGGAGAUUUCCGAAUGGGGAAACCCAAUGCCGGUAAUGCGGCAUUACUCCCAGCUGAAUAUAUAGGCUGGGUAGAGCGACACGCGGUGAAGUGAAACAUCUCAGUAACCGUAGGAACAGAAAGAGAAUCGAUUCCGUAAGUAGCGGCGAGCGAAAGCGGAACAGCCCAAACCAGAAGGAUUUAUCCUUUUGGGGUUGUAGGACCACAACAUGGGGAGCAACGGCUAGAAGAACACUCUGGAAAGAGUGACCAAAGAGGGUGACAGUCCCGUAAUCGAAAGCCCGCGCCGACCUAGUGGUAUCCUGAGUAGCACCGGACACGUGAAACCCGGUGUGAAUCUGCGCCGACCACGGCGUAAGGCUAAAUACAAUAUGACGACCGACAGUGAACUAGUACCGCGAGGGAAAGGUGAAAAGCACCCCUGUUAGGGGAGUGAAAUAGUAACUGAAACCGAUGGCUAACAAAUCAGUAGGAGCUCCCUUGUGGAGUGACUGCCUGCCUUUUGUAUAAUGAGUCUGCGAGUUAAUGUCCGUAGCAAGCCUAAGCCGCUCAGCGGUGGAGGCGCAGCGAAAGCGAGUCUGAAUAGGGCGUUCAGUUGCUGGCAUUAGACCCGAAGGGGAGGUGAUCUAACCAUGACCAGGUUGAAGCGUUAGUAAAAUAACGUGGAGGACCGAACCGGUGUAUCUUGAGAAAUGCUCGGAUGAGUUGUGGUUAGGAGCGAAAGACUAAUCAAACCCCCUGAUAGCUGGUUCUUUCCGAAAUAUAUUGAGGUAUAGCGUCGAGCGCUGACCUGUGGAGGUAGAGCACUGAAUAAGCUAGGGCCCCUACCGGGGUACUGAACUUUAUCAAACUCCGAAUGCCACAGGGUGAAGCUCGGCAGUCAGACAGUGGGUGCUAACGUCCAUUGUCGAGAGGGAAACAACCCAGACCAUCGAUUAAGGUCCCUAAAUAUGGCUCAGUGGUAAAGGAUGUGAUUUUACUUAGACAAUGGGGAUGUUGGCUUAGAGGCAGCCACCAUUUAAACAGUGCGUAAUAGCUGACCCAUCGAGUGAAAUUGCGCCGAAAAUGAUCGGGACUUAAGCCAUAUACCGAAAUCGUGGAUUUCAGAUCUUUAGAUCUGGAGUAGUAGGAAAGCGUUCCAAGUGCAGCGAAGGAGAAGGGGCAACCGAUUCUGGAGCGCUUGGAAGUGAGAAUGCAGACAUGAGUAACGAUAAAGAUGGUUAAAUUCCAUCUCGCCGUAAGGAUAAGGUUUCCUGGGGAAGGUUCGUCCGCCCAGGGUUAGCCGGGAGCUAAGACGAGGCCGUAAGGAGUAGUCGAUGCACAGGAGGUUAAUAUUCCUCCGCCGGCUUGCAACUAUCCCUAGAGUGCUGAUCGAGGGACCCUACAGACCUGUUAUGACAAGGCACUGCAAAGCUACGGCUGAGUGGGUGUAGGGAAACAAGGUUACAAGAAAAGCUCUAGGAUUACUAUGCAGGUCGCCCGUACCGCAAACCGACACAGGUAUCCGGGAUGAGUAUUCUAAGGCGCGCGAGUUAAAUCUCUCUAAGGAACUCGGCAAAUUAGCCCCGUAUCUUCGGUAUAAGGGGUGCCCUCUUCGGAGGGUCGCAGUUAAUAGCGUCAACCGACUGUUUAGCAAAAACACAGCUCUCUGCUAAGUCGCAAGACGACGUAUAGGGAGUGACACGUGACCAAUGCGAAAAGGUGAAAACCUGAGGUGCAAGCUUCGGGUCUAAGCCCUCGUGAAUGUCGGCCGUAACUAUAACGGUCCUAAGGUAGCGAAAUUCCUUGUCGGGUAAGUUCCGACCCGCACGAAUCGUGUAACGAGUUGACGACUGUCUCGGAGAGAUGCUCGGUGAAAUUGUAGUAGCGGUGAAGAUGCCGCUUACCCGCAGCAGGACGGAAAGACCCUAUGCACCUUUACUGUAAGCUGUUAUUGUCGCUUGAUUUUCAUUGCGUAGAAUAGGUGGGAGACGUUGAUACUUCACUCCAGGGUGAAGAGGAGUCACAAUGUGAAAUACCACUCUUUGUUGGUUAGGCGUCUAACCUCUUUCCAUUAUCUGGAGGAGGGACAGUGAUAGCAGGUCAGUUUUACUGGGGCGGUAUCCUCCCAAAAAGUAACGGAGGAUUUCGAAGGUUCCCUCAGCCCGGUCGGUAAUCGGGCUAUAGAGCACAUGAGUAUAAGGGAGCUUUACUGUGAGACCUACAAGUCGAGCAGUUGCGAAAGCAGGAUCAAGUGAUCCGGUGGUUGAAUGUGGAAUCGCCAUCGCUCAUAGGACAAAAGGUACGCUAGGGAUAACAGGCUGAUCGCGCCCAAGCGUUCACAGCGACGGCGCGGUUUGGCACCUCGAUGUCGGCUCAUCACAUCCUGGGGCUGGAGAAGGUCCCAAGGGUUCGGCUGUUCGCCGAUUAAAGUGGUACGCGAGCUGGGUUCAGAACGUCGUGAGACAGUUCGGUCCUCUAUCCGCUGUGGGCGUUUGAGACUUGAGGGGUUCAUUCUCUAGUACGAGAGGACCGAGAAUGACGAACCUCUGGUGUUCCGGUUAUCACGUCAGUGGUAGCGCCGGGUAGCUAAGUUCGGAAAAGAUAAGCGCUGAAAGCAUCUAAGCGCCAAGCUGUUCCCAAGAUAAGGUCUCAAUCUGACUUCGGUCAGUGCAGGGUCCGGGUAGACCACCCGGUUGAUAGGGCACAAGUGUAAGCAUGGUAACAUGUUCAGCGUAGUGCUACUAAUGACCCUGCCGGUUUAUGCAA